This 253-nucleotide ribosomal RNA is filed under the name uncultured bacterium. RNAcentral's name for it is "partial 16S ribosomal RNA". It matches the Rfam family "Bacterial small subunit ribosomal RNA", at positions 524 to 776 of the family's 1533-position model. The record is from RNAcentral.
UACAGAGGGUGCGAGCGUUAAUCGGAAUUACUGGGCGUAAAGCGUGCGUAGACGGUCAAGUAAGUCGGGUGUGAAAGCCCCGGGCUCAACCUGGGAAUUGCAUUCGAGACUGCGUGGCUAGGGUGCGGAAGAGGGAAGCGGAAUUUCCGGUGUAGCGGUGAAAUGCGUAGAUAUCGGAAGGAACACCAGUGGCGAAGGCAGCUCGCUGGGACGUGACUGACGCUGAGACGCGAAAGCGUGGGGAGCAAACAGG